UGAACGCUGGCGGUAUGCCUAACACAUGCAAGUCGUACGAGAGUUUUUAACUCAAGUGGCGGACGGGUGAGUAACACGUGAGAAUUUGCCUUUAGGAGGGGGAUAACAACGGGAAACUGUUGCUAAUACCCCAUAUGCUUUCGAGUGAAAUAGAUUUAUCUGCCUAAAGAGAAGCUCGCGGCUGAUUAGCUUGUUGGUAAGGUAAUGGCUUACCAAGGCGACGAUCAGUAUCUGGUUUGAGAGGACGAUCAGACACACUGGAACUGAGACACGGUCCAGACUCCUACGGGAGGCAGCAGUGGGGAAUUUUCCGCAAUGGGCGAAAGCCUGACGGAGCAAUACCGCGUGAAGGAAGACGGCCUAUGGGUUGUAAACUUCUUUUCUCAGGGAGGAACUCAAUGACGUGUACCUGAGGAAUAAGCAUCGGCUAACUCC
This 435-nucleotide ribosomal RNA is filed under the name uncultured bacterium. RNAcentral's name for it is "bacterial SSU rRNA". It matches the Rfam family "Bacterial small subunit ribosomal RNA", at positions 30 to 504 of the family's 1533-position model. The record is from RNAcentral.